GCCUCACUGAUGCUCUGCCCACUGCCCAGAUGCUCUGCAAGCAGUCUUCAGAUUGGGUUUUGGUUUUACUUGUUCCAUUACAUAAAAUAUUCAAAUUUGAAAAAAAGACCACAAGCCAUAAAAAUUACAAAUACCUAAAGAUAUUUUCAGAUAACAACAUUUCCCUUUUGCUCCUGCUGGACAUGGUCUCUGCCCUUUCAGCUCGCAGUGCAGCAGUUUCCAUUUUGAGGUGUGAUGUUCUCAGGUCAGACCUGGACAAAGGAACCUACCCAAAAUAGGGGUGUCCUAAGCCUGGUUCAUGAACCACUUGCAAGCUCCCCUCAAAGUUGCAGAAGGGCUGGAACUGCAGAAAGCUGAGAUAAGAGCCCUACCCCUUCCUUGGCACGAUGAACACGAUAUGAAGGAUGAAGAGGAACUCAAGGAUCUCCUCUGCUGGUACCCUUGACUGCAACCCAGUUCUGCUUUCUGAAUUAGAAAGUUGAAUGUGAAACGGAUUAACAUAAAAACCUACAGAAAAGGGCAAGUACCUGAGACACCCGUGCCCAUGUGACUCACAGUUCAUGACUCGUGGAGUGAUGCCAUUCACUUCAGCACUGUGCCUCACUGCUGAGAUGGUGAUGAAGGAGACAAGUGAAAUGAAAGUUUAUAAAAAGAGAGGAGUAUCUUCCCAGAUAAGUGCUGUGCCACCUGCAAUCAUCCCUACAAUUAAGUGGUUCCCUAAAAGGAAAUAUUGUUUCUGCAUUUGUUUUUUUAA
Pseudopipra pipra is the source of this 754-nucleotide long non-coding RNA. RefSeq lists it as uncharacterized. The transcript is spliced from 4 exons. Lineage: Eukaryota; Metazoa; Chordata; Aves; Passeriformes; Pipridae. The record is from RefSeq and is a predicted model, not a curated record.